CACCCUGAUCCAGCAAUGCCGCGUGUGUGAAGAAGGCCUGCGGGUUGUAAAGCACUUUAGAGGGGGAGGAAAGGCUUUGGGCUAAUACCUCAAAGAUAUGACGUUACCCCUAGAAUAAGCACCGGCUAACUCUGUGCCAGCAGCCGCGGUAAUAAUC
Molecule: ribosomal RNA, 157 nt
Filed under: uncultured bacterium
Lineage: Bacteria
Description: partial 16S ribosomal RNA
Rfam family: Bacterial small subunit ribosomal RNA
Source: RNAcentral